AUUGAACGCUGGCGGCAUGCUUUACACAUGCAAGUCGAACGGCAGCGCGGGCUUCGGCCUGGCGGCGAGUGGCGAACGGGUGAGUAAUGCAUCGGAACGUGCCCAGUAGUGGGGGAUAGCCCGGCGAAAGCCGGAUUAAUACCGCAUACGACCUGAGGGUGAAAGCGGGGGACCGAAAGGCCUCGCGCUAUUGGAGCGGCCGAUGUCGGAUUAGCUAGUUGGUGGGGUAAAGGCUUACCAAGGCGACGAUCCGUAGCUGGUCUGAGAGGACGACCAGCCACACUGGAACUGGAACCGGGCCAGGACUCCUACGGGGGGGAGAGUUGGGGAAUUUUGGACAAUGGGGGCAACCCUGUUCCGGCCAGGCGGGGUGGGGGAGAAGGCCUUCGGGUUGUAAACCGCUUUUGUUCGGGAAGAAAUCCUCUGGGCUAAUACCCCGGGGGGAUGACGGUACCGGAAGAAUAAGCACCGGCUAACUACGUG
This 483-nucleotide ribosomal RNA is filed under the name uncultured bacterium. RNAcentral's name for it is "partial 16S ribosomal RNA". It matches the Rfam family "Bacterial small subunit ribosomal RNA", at positions 28 to 507 of the family's 1533-position model. The record is from RNAcentral.